GUGACCAGCGGAAGGGAUCAUUA
This 23-nucleotide ribosomal RNA is filed under the name Trichoderma citrinum. Its description in RNAcentral is "partial 18S ribosomal RNA". The record is from RNAcentral. Lineage: Eukaryota; Fungi; Ascomycota; Sordariomycetes; Hypocreales; Hypocreaceae.